AACGAACGCUGGCGGCAGGCCUAACACAUGCAAGUCGAACGAUAUAGUGGCAGACGGGUGAGUAACGCGUGGGAACGUACCUUUCACUACGGAAUAGCUCCGAGAAAUUGGUGGUAAUACCGUAUACGCCCUCAGGGGGAAAGAUUUAUCGGUGAAAGAUCGGCCCGCGUUGGAUUAGCUAGUUGGUGAGGUAAUGGCUCACAAAGGCGACGAUCCAUAGCUGGUCUGAGAGGAUGAUCAGCCACACUGGGACUGAGACACGGCCCAGACUCCUACGGGAGGCAGCAGUGGGGAAUCUUGCACAAUGGGCGAAAGCCUGAUGCAGCCAUGCCGCGUGAAUGAUGAAGGCCUUAGGGUUGUAAAAUUCUUUCGUCAGGGAUGAUAAUGACCGUACCUGAAGAAGAAGCCCCGGCUAACUUCGUGCCAGCCGCCGCAGUAA
RNAcentral lists this ribosomal RNA (439 nucleotides) under uncultured bacterium. RNAcentral describes it as "partial 16S ribosomal RNA". It matches the Rfam family "Bacterial small subunit ribosomal RNA", at positions 29 to 523 of the family's 1533-position model. The record is from RNAcentral.